RNAcentral lists this ribosomal RNA (370 nucleotides) under uncultured bacterium. RNAcentral describes it as "bacterial SSU rRNA". It matches the Rfam family "Bacterial small subunit ribosomal RNA", at positions 28 to 398 of the family's 1533-position model. The record is from RNAcentral.
GACGAACGCUGGCGGCGUGCUUAACACAUGCAAGUCGAGCGGUAAGGGCCCUUUCGGGGGUACACGAGCGGCGAACGGGUGAGUAACACGUGGGUGACCUGCCCUCAGCUCUGGGAUAAGCCUGGGAAACCGGGUCUAAUACCGGAUAUGACUCCAUGACGCAUGUUGUGGGGUGGAAAGCCUUGUGCGGCUGAGGAUGGGCCCGCGGCCUAUCAGCUUGUUGGUGGGGUGAUGGCCUACCAAGGCGACGACGGGUAGCCGGCCUGAGAGGGCGACCGGCCACACUGGGACUGAGACACGGCCCAGACUCCUACGGGAGGCAGCAGUGGGGAAUCUUGCGCAAUGGGCGAAAGCCUGACGCAGCGACGCC